Tachyglossus aculeatus (Australian echidna) is the source of this 107-nucleotide small nuclear RNA. NCBI's taxonomy places the organism in Eukaryota, Metazoa, Chordata, Mammalia, Monotremata, Tachyglossidae. The record is from RefSeq and is a predicted model, not a curated record.
GUUCUGGCUUUGGCAGCACAUACACUGAAGUUAGAAUAAUUCAGAAAGAUUAGCAUGGCCCACGUGCAAGGAUAACACACAAAUCUGCCAUUUUUCUUCACAUUUUU